CCGUCUAAUAACACAAGGUCUUGGUCUUAAACCUCCCGUUGUCUAAACUCCAUACUUAUACAUGCAAGCCUCAACACGACAGUGAAACAGCCCACCACAACCGCCCACGGAGCCGGUAUCAGGCUAUCGCCCAUAACACCAAGCACACAGCCACACCCCCACGGGCCCGCAGCAGUACUUAAUAUUAGGCCAUGAGCGCAAGCUUGACCUAAUAAAGGAAUUUACAGGGCCGGUUAAUCUCGUGCCAGCGACCGCGGUUACACGACAGACCCAAGACAACACCUACGGCGUAAAGCACGACUAAAACCACAAGUUAUCAUAUUUAGAGACGAAGACAAGCUAGGCUGUAAAAAGCCAUAAGUCACACUAAACACACAACCCUAAUACUAAACAACUUCAACUCGUGAAAGCCGGGGUACAAACUAAGAUUAGAUACCUUACUAUGCCCAGCCAUAACAAAACAAUCAAAUAACUAAUUGUUCGCCAAAUAACUACGAGUAAAAACUUAAAAUUUAAAAGACUUGACGGUACUUCACACCAACCUAGAGGAGCCUGUCAAAUAACCGAUAAUCCACGAUUAACCCAACCCACUCUAGCCCAACAGUCUAUAUACCGCCGUCGCCAGCUUACCUUGUGAAAGAAAUAAAGUAAGCCUAAUAACCCACCAUUAACACGACAGGUCGAGGUGUAACCAAUGAGUCGGACCAAGAUGGGCUACAUUUUCUAACCCAGAAGAAACGAACAGACUAUGAAACUAGAAACUGAAGGCGGAUUUAGCAGUAAGAUGGGAAUAGAUAUACCCAGCCGAAACUAAUGCAAUGAAGUGCGCACACACCGCCCGUCAUCCCUGUAAACACACAACUUAUAUCCAUAAAACCUACCCACAUUUAAAGCAGGGCAAGUCGUAACAUGGUAAGCGUACUGGAAAGUGCGCUUAG
This 938-nucleotide non-coding RNA is filed under the name Parasuta spectabilis (spectacled hooded snake). Lineage: Eukaryota; Metazoa; Chordata; Lepidosauria; Squamata; Elapidae. The record is from RNAcentral.